UCUUUCCUGCAAGCCCUCACCGGUCGAGAGCGGCUCCUGCACCUCGGUAUCGCGAGACGUGGGUGGGCGUGGAUUGGGCCCGGCUGACAAAUCUCGCGAGGCUUAGACGCCGCAGACCGCGAGGAGGUGCAGGACCUGGAGCACGUUUCCUUUUGCAGACUUUGGGAGUUUGGGGUGUUUGCCGUAGUUUCGCAAACUGAUCGCGGUUUCCACAGCAAGGUUCCCCCCGUGAGAUGGGCUCAUGCAGUUCUUGGCUUAGGGUUCUCACCUUGCACACUAUCACCAGUUGACACUUCUCAAUUCGUCUUGUUAUGGAAACUAAGAUCCAGAUCCUAAAGAAUUUGUUACUAACAAGGUCUUGCUAAGUUGCCCAGGCUGCCCUCCUGCCUCAACCCCCUGAAUUGCUGGAAUUGAAGGGUCUCAUGGGGUUGCCCACGCUGGCCUUGAACUCUUGAGUGAAAGUGAUCCUCCUGCCUCAGCUUCCUGAGUAGAUGAGACUACAGGCAUACACCAUCAUGUCUGGAUCAUAUUUUGUUUUGUACUGAUAUGACGUAUUGUAUUAGUUGAUUUUAAGAUGUUAAACCAACCUGGCAUUAAUGGAAUAAAAUACCAUGUGGUCCUGGUGCAAAAUUCUUUUUCUAAGAUUCAGGAUUUCAUUUGCUAGUACUUUACUGAGGAUUUUUCACCUAUAUUCACAAGAGUUAUUAGUCUAUAGUUUUUUUGUGGUAUCUUUGUGUAUUUUUUUGGUAUCAGGGUCAUACUGGCCUUAUUUAAAAUAGAGAAAGAAAUAUUCCUUUCCUCUACUGUUUUUGGAGAAGAAUUUAUGAAGAAAUUCUUACUAAUUCUCUUUAAAUCUUUGAUGAAAUUCAGUGAUGAAGACAUAUGGACCUGGGUUUUAUUUUAUUUUAUUUUUUUGGCAAUGGGGAUUGAAUGCAGAGGCACUCUACCAUGCUUACCUGUGGGAGACCAACGUUGCACGUGACUGAGUCACACUCUCCAGCUGGGUGCUGAGACGCUCAGUCACAGAAAUGUGGCAGAGCUUUCCUCACCCUUCUUAGGUUCCAGGGUCGGAGUCUCCUGCAUGGGUGUGUCUUGCUACAGCCCCCAUGGGUGAGGCUACGCUCACCUUUUCCUUUGUAAUAUAACCCCUUGCCCUGUUUAGGAUAGAAUCUUCCAUGGAAGUUCCUUGUGUGUGUCCCUGCCGCUUCCGGCUAACGGAGCCGAGUCCGGUGAGGGACGGCGGGGUUAAAAAU
This is a long non-coding RNA of Marmota monax (woodchuck), 1253 nucleotides long. RefSeq lists it as uncharacterized. The transcript is spliced from 3 exons. The record is from RefSeq and is a predicted model, not a curated record. NCBI's taxonomy places the organism in Eukaryota, Metazoa, Chordata, Mammalia, Rodentia, Sciuridae.